UGAGGAAUAUUGGUCAAUGGGCGAGAGCCUGAACCAGCCAAGUCGCGUGAGGGAAGGAGGUCCUACGGAUUGUAAACCUCUUUUGCGGGGGAGCAACGGGCGCCACGUGUGGCGCCGUGAGCGUACCCCGAGAAAAAGCAUCGGCUAACUCCGUGCCAGCAGCCGCGGUAAUACGGAGGAUGCGAGCGUUAUCCGGAUUUAUUGGGUUUAAAGGGUGCGUAGGCGGCACGGAAAGUCAGCGGUAAAAAUGCGGUGCUCAACGCCGUACAGCCGUUGAAACUGACGGGCUAGCGUACGCCAGGAGCAUGCGGAAUGCGCGGUGUAGCGGUGAAAUGCAUAGAUAUCGCGCAGAACUCCGAUCGCGAAGGCAGCAUGCUAUGGCGAAACGGACGCUGAGGCACGAAAGCGCGGGGAUCGAACAGGAUUAGAUACCCUGGUAGUCCGCGCAGUAAACGAUGAGCGCUAACUGUCCGGUCCGAACGGGGGCUGGGGGGUAAAGCGAAAGCGUUAAGCGCUCCACCUGGGGAGUACGCCGGCAACGGUG
Molecule: ribosomal RNA, 544 nt
Filed under: uncultured bacterium
Lineage: Bacteria
Description: bacterial SSU rRNA
Rfam family: Bacterial small subunit ribosomal RNA
Source: RNAcentral